RNAcentral lists this ribosomal RNA (450 nucleotides) under uncultured bacterium. Its description in RNAcentral is "bacterial SSU rRNA". It matches the Rfam family "Bacterial small subunit ribosomal RNA", at positions 29 to 526 of the family's 1533-position model. The record is from RNAcentral.
AACGAACGCUGGCGGCAGGCUUAACACAUGCAAGUCGAACGCCCCGCAAGGGGAGUGGCAGACGGGUGAGUAACGCGUGGGAACGUACCCUUCGGUUCGGAAUAACCCGGGGAAACUCGGGCUAAUACCGGAUACGUCCGCAAGGAGAAAGAUUUAUUGCCGAAGGAUCGGCCCGCGUCGGAUUAGCUAGUUGGUGGGGUAAUGGCCCACCAAGGCGACGAUCCGUAGCUGGUCUGAGAGGAUGAUCAGCCACACUGGGACUGAGACACGGCCCAGACUCCUACGGGAGGCAGCAGUGGGGAAUAUUGGACAAUGGGCGAAAGCCUGAUCCAGCCAUGCCGCGUGAGUGAAGAAGGCCUUAGGGUUGUAAAGCUCUUUCAGCGGGGACGAUAAUGACGGUACCCGCAGAAGAAGUCCCGGCUAACUUCGUGCCAGCCGCCGCCGUAACAC